AAGCCUAACCCUGCUCAGUUUUGUAGGAAGCCAACAUCAGCUUUGCCUGCUCCCUUAUCAACUCAUUCCUCUUCAGAAACAGCUCCAACUCAGCAACAUGCAACUCCCUCCAUUUCUCUUCCAUCUCAGCCUUUUUAGCUCCCUCCAACAUAUCCAGUCCCCGCUUUACCACAUACUCCUCCAUUCCUGCAACACUUACACUCUUAUCAAACCGUACAAAGUGUUUCAGACCAGAAUGGCUAUCCAUGUCAACCUCCAUCUUGUCAACCUUCUCAGUCUCCUUCUCCACAUCCACACCUAGUUCUGCCUUCAAUGCAGCCAAACUCUUACCUCUCAGACUAUUAAUAGCACCCUUUGCUUUGCCAUUCGACUUAACACCCAAAUCCACUCCUCCCCCGCUAGUUGCUUCACUACCCCAUAUCUUUUUUGACAAAUCGAAGGAUUUCUGGUCAUGAGCUUUCGAAAAUGUCUUAUCUUCACCCUUUUUCCCUUUGCUCACAUGGUUCUCAAACUUCUUCUUUAACCUCCAAACCUUAUCCUUCAACUGGCUUAAAGAGACAUCAAAGUGAAGCGAUUUCUUAAUGAAAUCAUAAAACGAGCUCAUAUCCUUGGCAGGGUCGACUCCUUUCUUUUCACUAAAAUCAAUGAUGCCUUUUAGUACCGCAAUCUCAUCAUCCUCGCUCCAGAGCCGUUGAAACAGUUGUUUCUUCAUAUCCUCAGGCUUUUCAACAGCUCCAUCUGAUUCCGAAUUCUUCUUCUUGGCCCGCUUUGAGUCCUUUGGGUCGCCAUCCGUUUCACUGCCCCUCUUCACCGCCGCCGUUGAUUUCCCGGCAACCUGAGUUGAUGCCGAUGGUUUGGAUCUAGGCUUCGUUGUUUUAAGGGGAGUCUCCUCCAUAAGCUUAGAAGCGAUGGGCUUGACAGUGGCAUCACGGGCAUGAUUAGGUCGACCAUCAUCGGAGUCGGAUUCAGAGUCAGACUCAUCAGAGUCAGACUCGGACCCAGCUUGCUUAGUGGUGGAAUCAGGCUUCUUGGAGACUGAUUUAACAGUUUGAGUCUGUGGCGGUGGUUUAGAAGAUGGAUUUCGUGGGUUCCCCUGCGUUUGUUCUUCUUCAGAUGAAGAUCCCUCUUCCUCUUCUCCAUCUUCUUCCUCCCCACUGGAGCUUUCCUCUUCUUGAGAAGACGAAGCCGCCGGUGGAUCUUCCAAGGGAGUUGAUCGUUUAGGUCCCAUUGAUUUCAACGGAGUCGGAUAAAGCUAGGAUUUUAAGGGAAUUAGGGUCGGAACAAGAACAAUAACUCGAGUAAGACGAUGAAUAGAGAGAGAGAGAGUGAAAAAAGAGCAAGAAAAUCGUCCGGAUUCUAAAAAGUAAGAAAACGGCCGAAAUCUGUAGGGCUUUCUAACCGUUGGAUUUGUA
Molecule: unclassified non-coding RNA, 1412 nt
Filed under: Hevea brasiliensis (rubber tree)
Lineage: Eukaryota; Viridiplantae; Streptophyta; Magnoliopsida; Malpighiales; Euphorbiaceae
Source: RNAcentral